CUUGUGGACUGUUAUAGCGAAUGGGAGUAGUUUUUAUUCUUCAAAGAAUGAAGACAAAACCAGACAGGGUGAAGCAAGAA
Molecule: non-coding RNA, 80 nt
Filed under: unclassified sequences
Description: RAGATH-18 RNA
Rfam family: RAGATH-18 RNA
About the family: Actinobacteria, Firmicutes, Fusobacteria, Thermotogae (1 example). Nearby to self-cleaving ribozyme genes
Source: Rfam by way of RNAcentral